UGGAGGAAUAUUGGUCAAUGGGCGCAAGCCUGAACCAGCCAAGUCGCGUGAGGGAAGACGGUCCUAUGGAUUGUAACCUCUUUGUCGGGAGCAAAGCGCGGUACGAGUACCGCGAAGGAGAGUACCCGAAGAAAAAGCAUCGGCUAACUCCGUGCCAGCAGCCG
This 164-nucleotide ribosomal RNA is filed under the name uncultured bacterium. Its description in RNAcentral is "partial 16S ribosomal RNA". It matches the Rfam family "Bacterial small subunit ribosomal RNA", at positions 354 to 517 of the family's 1533-position model. The record is from RNAcentral.